Molecule: non-coding RNA, 30 nt
Filed under: Rattus norvegicus (Norway rat)
Lineage: Eukaryota; Metazoa; Chordata; Mammalia; Rodentia; Muridae
Source: RNAcentral
UGGAAAAGUUAAUAACAUGGCUAUGUCUUU